AGCGAACGCUGGCGGUAGGCCUAACACAUGCAAGUCGAACGGCAGCACAGUAAGAGCUUGCUCUUACGGGUGGCGAGUGGCGGACGGGUGAGGAAUAUAUCGGAAUCUACUUUUUCGUGGGGGAUAACGUAGGGAAACUUAAGCUAAUACCGCAUACGACCUACGGGGGAAAGCAGGGGAUCUUCGGACCUUGCGCGAUUGAAUGAGCCGAUGUCGGAUUAGCUAGUUGGCGGGGUAAAGGCCAACCAAGGCGACGAUCGGUAGCCGGUCGGAGAGGAGGAUCGGCCACACUGGAACUGGGACACGGUCCAGACUCCUGCGGGAGGCAGCAGUGGGGAAUAUUGGGCAAUGGGCGCAAGCCUGAUCCAGCCAUACCGCGUGUGUGAAGAAGGCCUUCGGGUUGUAAAGCCCUUUUGUUGGGAAAGAAAAGCAGCAGGUUAAUACCCCGCUGUUCUGACGGUACCCAAAAAAUAAGCACCGGCUAACUUCGUG
This 492-nucleotide ribosomal RNA is filed under the name uncultured bacterium. RNAcentral describes it as "partial 16S ribosomal RNA". It matches the Rfam family "Bacterial small subunit ribosomal RNA", at positions 29 to 507 of the family's 1533-position model. The record is from RNAcentral.